AUGUCUUCCUGUCUCACAGAUAUCAUUAGUGCCAAUGGUGUUGAUUUCAUUGGUCUUCAAGAGACCAUGAAGAAAAAUUAUAAAACCUCCUUUUUUAGGAAGCUUGACCCUAUGGCUAAUUUCCACUGGGAAUGGAUCCCUUCAAUUGGGAAAUCUGGAGGAAUCCUAUGUGGUGUGAGAGUAGAGAAGUUUGAUGUUAUUGACACUCUUUGUGGCAAGUACAUUUUGCAAAUUAACCUUUUUUACAAAAUUAAGAAGUGCAAGUGGGCUCUACUGAUCGUUUAUGGAGCUGCACAUGAUGAUAGGAAACCUGAGUUUUUGGCUGAGCUGUCCUCGUUUUGUAAUAAAAUUGACAUUCCUUAUCUGGUUGGGGGAGAUUUUAAUAUUCUUAGGCAUUGUGGAGAGAAAAACAAACAAACUCAUAUGUCUCAUUUCUCGGAUGUUUUUAAUUUUAUAAUCCAUUUACUUGGGCUGAGAGAGAUCUAUAUGUCCGGCGGUUCUUUUACUUGGUCCAAUAAACAAGAAUGUCCUACUUUCGAGAAGUUGGGCAGGGUCUUAAUGUCUCCUGAUUGGGAAGACGUGUUUCCCUUGGUCUCUGUUCGUAAGUUGGUUAAAGAGCUUUCGGACCAUAAUCCCCUACUUCUUGAGGGGGGGGGGGUGGCUCCUUCAAGGGCUCAGGGCAGCAGAUGUUUUAGGUUUGAUGUGACCUGGUUGAAUAACCCUGAUGUAAGGACAUAUUUAUCCCUAAGUGUUUUGGUGAUUGAUGACAACGCAUUUGCGGACUAA
Molecule: ribosomal RNA, 786 nt
Filed under: Triticum aestivum (bread wheat)
Lineage: Eukaryota; Viridiplantae; Streptophyta; Magnoliopsida; Poales; Poaceae
Description: partial small subunit ribosomal RNA
Source: RNAcentral